CCCUUAGAUGUUCUGGGCCGCACGCGCGCUACACUGACGAUGGCAACGAGUUUUUCCUUCGCCGAAAGGUGUGGGUAAUCUUUUGAAACAUCGUCGUGCUGGGGAUAGAUCAUUGCAAUUUUUGAUCUUGAACGAGGAAUUCCUAGUAAGCGCGAGUCAUCAGCUCGCGUUGAUUACGUCCCUGCCCUUUGUACACACUGCCCGUCGCUACUACCGAUUGAAUGGUUUAGUGAGGACUCCUGAUUGGCGCCGCCGCCCCGGCAACGGAGCAGCGGACUGCCGAAAAGUUGUUCAAACUUGAUCAUUUAGAGGAAGUAAAAGUCGUAACA
RNAcentral lists this ribosomal RNA (329 nucleotides) under uncultured eukaryote. Its description in RNAcentral is "partial 18S ribosomal RNA". It matches the Rfam family "Eukaryotic small subunit ribosomal RNA", at positions 1470 to 1796 of the family's 1831-position model. The record is from RNAcentral.